This 100-nucleotide ribosomal RNA is filed under the name Sinocyclocheilus anshuiensis. The record is from RNAcentral. Lineage: Eukaryota; Metazoa; Chordata; Actinopteri; Cypriniformes; Cyprinidae.
UACAGCCAUAUCACCCUGCAGCCCAGUGAAGCUAAGCAGGGUUGAGCCUGGUCAAUACCUGGAUGGGAGACCUCCUGGGAAAACUAGGUUGCGGUUGGAA